AGGGGGCUAGCGUUGCUCGGAAUCACUGGGCGUAAAGGGUGCGUAGGCGGGUUAUUAAGUCAGAGGGGAAAUCCUGGAGCUCAACUCCAGAACUGCCUUUGAUACUGAUAGUCUUGAGUAUGGGAGAGGUGAGUGGAACUGCGAGUGUAGAGGUGAAAUUCGUAGAUAUUCGCAAGAACACCAGUGGCGAAGGCGGCUCACUGGCCCAUUACUGACGCUGAGGCACGAAAGCGUGGGGAGCAAACAGG
Molecule: ribosomal RNA, 248 nt
Filed under: uncultured bacterium
Lineage: Bacteria
Description: partial 16S ribosomal RNA
Rfam family: Bacterial small subunit ribosomal RNA
Source: RNAcentral